Esox lucius (northern pike) is the source of this 1206-nucleotide long non-coding RNA. NCBI's taxonomy places the organism in Eukaryota, Metazoa, Chordata, Actinopteri, Esociformes, Esocidae. The record is from Ensembl.
UGUACACAUAGUUUUCCAAUAAUGACCAAGUAAAUACAACAAAUACAGUGCUCGUGACAAGACCAGAAAGAGCACAUUCAACCUAAGAAUAAAAUAAAAUGUUCUAAAUCUUUAGACGGAAAGAACAUUUUCACUAAAUAUUCACAAAAAAAGUUCACUAAAUAUUCAUACUGUGCUUUUUUUAUCUACAAAUGUUUGAUGUCUGAUAUCUUAAAUAUCUUGGGAUAAGUUUGCUAUUUUUAACCUGGGGCCUAUUUACAGAUAAUCUAGCAAAAUCCUAGUUCAUAGAGACAUGUUUUUCAUAAAUGAUUUCAGCUUAUCUUCAAGGAAAACUAAGGACAUUUAUCAAAAAAGUAGAUUUCAAAUGACUCGUACUGCUCAGUACUUGUACCUUUCAAUGAUAAUACAGUUGGUUCUAAUAUAUUACUCUGAUUAAAAUGUUUUUCCAGUGUGAUGGAAACCAAGUUGCAUUUGCAGAUGUAUUUACAUAGCAGUCAGAAGGUAGAUUCUAUAGUCCUACAACAUUUUACGUUGCUGGACUGUGGAAUAGAUUGCCUCUUUCAUAAUGUCUUUGGAGAUGUGAACGUCAGGGCUUCUCUUAUGUUUUACAUUGUCUUUGGGAAACUGGACAGUAGAGUAGACGGAAACAUCCUGGGUUCCACCAGCUGUUGGAGGGAUUGAGGAGACUCCAGAAUCUUUAGGUAUAUCAAUGUAGUUGAGACAAUCUAGAAAAUGAGUGGAACAUCCCGGAUGUUCGGGAAAGCUACCGUCACCAGGGUAGGUUGUAGAUGGACGACCAGCAGGGUAGGUUGUAGAUGGACGACCAGCAGGGUAGGUUGUAGAUGGACGACCAUCAGGGUAGGUUGUAGUCGUGGUUUGUUUGUUGACUGUGGAAUAGACUGGAGAGAUGAACAAAGGGUUUGGGUCUGUCUGUAUUUCUGCCUCAUUGAUCUCCCCGUAAUCCUGCAAUGACAGUCAGGUUUAGAAACACGUGCACAUUUUACAAAAACCCUUGAAAAAACACAACAGAUUAAAAUAUUCGAAGACAAAGUGUUUGCAAGAAAGACACACAGCCUCAUCCAUAUUUGGGGGAGAAUUCAUGUGUUGUGUAGUUUGUGGUGGAUUUGUUUGUCUCCUGACUCCUCUCUUUCUGUAGAACAGGAGCGGAACCAGUCCUACCACUGUCACCAUGACUACCAGACCAAC